GGCGCACGGGUGCGAAACGCGUGGGAAUCUGCCCUUCGGUUCGGAAUAACUCAGGGAAACUUGAACUAAUACCGGAUAAUGACUUCGGUCCAAAGAUUUAUUGCCGAGGGAUGAGCCCGCGUAGGAUUAGCUAGUUGGUGGGGUAAUGCCCUACCAAGGCGACGAUCUUAGCUGGUCUGAGCGGAUGAUCAGCCACACUGGGACUGAGACACGGCCCAGACUCCUACGGGAGGCAGCAGUGGGGAAUAUUGGACAAUGGGCGAAAGCCUGAUCCAGCAAUGCCGCGUGAGUGUUGAAGGCCUUAGGGUUGUAAAGCUCUUUUACCAGGGAUGAUAAUGACAGUACCAGGAGAAUAAGCUCCGGCUAACACCGUGCCAGCACCCGCGGUAAUACGGAGGGAGCUAGGUUGUUCGGAAUUACUGGGCGUAAAGCGCGCGUAGGCGGUUACUCAAGUCAGAGGUGAAAGCCCGGCGCUCAACCCCGGAACUGCCUUUGAAACUAGGUGACUAGAAACUUGGAGAGGUCAGUGGAAUUCCGACUGUAGAGGUGAAAUUCGUAGAUAUUCGGAAGAACACCAGUGGCGAAGCCGACUGA
This 594-nucleotide ribosomal RNA is filed under the name uncultured bacterium. RNAcentral describes it as "bacterial SSU rRNA". It matches the Rfam family "Bacterial small subunit ribosomal RNA", at positions 97 to 728 of the family's 1533-position model. The record is from RNAcentral.